UACGUAGGAGGCGAGCGUUGUCCGGAGUUACUGGGCGUAAAGCGUGCGCAGGCGGCUUCGCAAGUCAGACGUGAAAUCCCCGGGCUUAACCUGGGAAUAGCGUUUGAAACUACGGAGCUGGAGUGUGGCAGAGGGAGGUAGAAUUCCACGUGUAGCGGUGAAAUGCGUAGAUAUGUGGAGGAAUACCGAUGGCGAAGGCAGCCUCCUGGGCCAACACUGACGCUCAUGCACGAAAGCGUGGGGAGCAAACAGG
RNAcentral lists this ribosomal RNA (253 nucleotides) under uncultured bacterium. RNAcentral's name for it is "partial 16S ribosomal RNA". It matches the Rfam family "Bacterial small subunit ribosomal RNA", at positions 524 to 776 of the family's 1533-position model. The record is from RNAcentral.